RNAcentral lists this ribosomal RNA (696 nucleotides) under uncultured bacterium. Its description in RNAcentral is "bacterial SSU rRNA". It matches the Rfam family "Bacterial small subunit ribosomal RNA", at positions 32 to 715 of the family's 1533-position model. The record is from RNAcentral.
AACGCUAGCUACAGGCUUAACACAUGCAAGUCGAGGGGAAACGAUAUUGGAAGCUUGCUUCCGAUAGGCGUCGACCGGCGCACGGGUGAGUAACGCGUAUCCAACCUGCCCACCACUUGGGGAUAACCUUGCGAAAGUAAGACUAAUACCCAAUGACGUCUCUAGAAGACAUCUGAAAGAGAUUAAAGAUUUAUCGGUGAUGGAUGGGGAUGCGUCUGAUUAGCUUGUUGGCGGGGUAACGGCCCACCAAGGCGACGAUCAGUAGGGGUUCUGAGAGGAAGGUCCCCCACAUUGGAACUGAGACACGGUCCAAACUCCUACGGGAGGCAGCAGUGAGGAAUAUUGGUCAAUGGGCGAGAGCCUGAACCAGCCAAGUAGCGUGCAGGAUGACGGCCCUAUGGGUUGUAAACUGCUUUUAUAAGGGAAUAAAGUUAGUCUCGUGAGACUUUUUGCAUGUACCUUAUGAAUAAGGACCGGCUAAUUCCGUGCCAGCAGCCGCGGUAAUACGGAAGGUCCGGGCGUUAUCCGGAUUUAUUGGGUUUAAAGGGAGCGUAGGCCGGAGAUUAAGCGUGUUGUGAAAUGUAGGCGCUCAACGUCUGCACUGCAGCGCGAACUGGUUUCCUUGAGUACGCACAAAGUGGGCGGAAUUCGCGGUGUAGCGGUGAAAUGCUUAGAUAUCACGAAGAACUCCGAUUG